AUUGCAGGCUGCAACCCGCCUGUAUGAAGUUGGAAUCGCUAGUAAUCGCGGAUCAGCAUGCCGCGGUGAAUACGUUCCCGGGCCUUGUACACACCGCCCGUCACACCAUGAGAGUCGGGAACACCCGAAGUCCGUAGUCUAACCGCAAGGAGGACGCGGCCGAAGGUGAGUUCGAUAAUUGGGGUGAAGUCGUAACAAGGUACC
This 204-nucleotide ribosomal RNA is filed under the name uncultured bacterium. RNAcentral describes it as "partial 16S ribosomal RNA". It matches the Rfam family "Bacterial small subunit ribosomal RNA", at positions 1297 to 1500 of the family's 1533-position model. The record is from RNAcentral.